Chiloscyllium plagiosum (whitespotted bambooshark) is the source of this 1376-nucleotide non-coding RNA. Lineage: Eukaryota; Metazoa; Chordata; Chondrichthyes; Orectolobiformes; Hemiscylliidae. The record is from the annotation of a RefSeq genome assembly.
CUUCAACAUCUGAACAUUAGAGAAAUUCCAGGAUUUUGUCAAAGAGCUGAAAUUAAUUCACAGUCAACCAAUUGUUUCUUGUGCCUUUUCCUUCCUGGAUGCAGAUGAAGUAACUGGCACUGAAUUUAAAAGUAUGCCCAUUUGAAGAAAAUACAAACCAGACUUCUCACAGAAGAUAAGCAAUCAUCAGGCUGAGAUUUGGAUGAAACAGAUAAAAUGACAUCUCUGGGGACGCAAGUGUUCAAACUUUGUGUUUUGCUUCAUUUUUUUCUACUUGCAGUGAGAAGCAGAAAUCUAACAGUCUUCCAAGAACCAUCACAGAUCAGAGCAUUGAAGGGGGACAACAUACAAAUAAAUUGUUCAUACAGUGAUACAGUAGAACAAUUCCGGAUUACGUGGAAGAGAAACAGCAGUACACAAUCAUUCUGCCAUCGUGUGGAAAAUACAUUUAAUUGUUCUUCUAUCAUACAUUGCACAGAACGUGCUAACAUUACGAUGAAUGCUUCAACAAAAUCCUCAUCUUUAAUAAUCUACAAUCUUCAUUUAAAUGAUUCUGACAUUUACUUCUGUCAAGUUGAUUUUGAAAUCCCACCUCCUUCAAAAUCAGCAACUGGCAAAGGUACACGCAUUAUUGUACAAGCUCGGCCAACUGUCCAGUUAAUUGAAAGGGCUCAGCCUUACCCUAAUCAAGGGAGAGAGUUAAUCUGCACAUCACAGGAAUUCUAUCCUGAUGACAUUCAAGUGUCCUGGUUUAAAGAUGGACAGCUAAUCACCAAUGGCAUUAAGAAUGGGACUCUCCACACUAACAGUGAUGGCUCGUUCUCCACCACAAGUUUCCUGAAUCUUUCUGUAUUUGAGCGGAAUGAAAGUGGAACAUAUUCCUGUCAGGUGAACCACCGAACACUGUCUGUAUCCACCACUGAAAAGAUUUCUGUUUGUAACCAAGGUUCUGCCAGUAACAGACGAUUGUGGAUAUCACUAAUAGCUAGCGGUUUAAUUGUAUUGAUUGCGUGUGUGGUUGUUGCAGUACUUUGUACACGUUCAAUUUCAAAAAAAAAUGCUUCAUCAUCAAAGAAAGCAGAUAUGCCUGAAAGUGAACCACAUGCAAGAGAGCAGCCACCCAAAGAUGAUAAUGCUGUUUAUUCACUGCUUGGCCAAUACCCUUGUGCUUUAUAAACUUACAAUGUUUUAAAAGGUUGUCUAUGGCAUUAGUCAACAGGUUUCAUGGUUCCUAUAGGUUUUUUGUAGGAGUGUUAACAAAGCUGUUCAACCAUUUUGUGCAUUUCUACAAAUUCCUAAAGGUGAUGUCACCUUAUAAAACUUCACUAAUAGGCUAUAGCAUUGAGACUCCACAACUAUAACAGUGAGGAGGAGAG